UAGCAGCUGCUAUGAGGUUAGAGGGAGCUUGGUUAGUGAUACUGAAAGGGACACUGCCAGGACCAGGCUUGGUAGCUGAGCCCCUCAGGGGCUGAAUUGAGGAGGCAGAGCGGGGAGGCGAGUCCAUCCCCUGCAGCGUCGCGCGGAGGCGGCCAGUGCCCAGCACUCCUGCAUGCCCCACUCCUGCUCCGCAGCGAGUGUCAGUCAGCAAUCACUGCCUUUGUG
Oxyura jamaicensis (ruddy duck) is the source of this 225-nucleotide long non-coding RNA. RefSeq lists it as uncharacterized. Lineage: Eukaryota; Metazoa; Chordata; Aves; Anseriformes; Anatidae. The transcript has 3 exons. The record is from RefSeq and is a predicted model, not a curated record.